RNAcentral lists this ribosomal RNA (393 nucleotides) under uncultured bacterium. RNAcentral's name for it is "partial 16S ribosomal RNA". It matches the Rfam family "Bacterial small subunit ribosomal RNA", at positions 523 to 918 of the family's 1533-position model. The record is from RNAcentral.
AUACGGAGGGUGCAAGCGUUAUCCGGAUUUAUUGGGUUUAAAGGCUGCGUAGGCGGUUUGAUAAGUCAGCGGUGAAAUAUUUCAGCUUAACUGGAAGGGUGCCGUUGAUACUGUCGAGCUUGAAUUUAGUUGCUGUGGGUGGAAUGUGUGGUGUAGCGGUGAAAUGCAUAGAUAUCACACAGAAUAUCGAUUGCGAAGGCAGCUCACAAAGCUAAUAUUGACGCUGAUGCACGAAAGUGUGGGGAUCAAACAGGAUUAGAUACCCUGGUAGUCCACGCUGUAAACGAUGAUAACUCGCUGUCGGCGAUACAUAGUCGGUGGCCAAGCGAAAGCGAUAAGUUAUCCACCUGGGGAGUACGACCGCAAGGUUGAAACUCAAAGGAAUUGACGGGG